UGCAAGUCGAACGAUGAUGCCCAGCUUGCUGGGCGGAUUAGUGGCGAACGGGUGAGUAAUACGUGAGUAACCUGCCCUUGACUCUGGGAUAAGCCUGGGAAACUGGGUCUAAUACUGGAUACUACCUCUUACCGCAUGGUGGGUGGUGGAAAGGGUUUUACUGGUUUUGGAUGGGCUCACGGCCUAUCAGCUUGUUGGUGGGGUAAUGGCUCACCAAGGCGACGACGGGUAGCCGGCCUGAGAGGGUGACCGGCCACACUGGGACUGAGACACGGCCCAGACUCCUACGGGAGGCAGCAGUGGGGAAUAUUGCACAAUGGGCGGAAGCCUGAUGCAGCGACGCCGCGUGAGGGAUGACGGCCUUCGGGUUGUAAACCUCUUUCAGUAGGGAAGAAGCGAGAGUGACGGUACCUGCAGAAGAAGCGCCGGCUAACUACGUGCCAGCAGCCGCGGUAAUACGUAGGGCGCAAGCGUUGUCCGGAAUUAUUGGGCGUAAAGAGCUCGUAGGCGGUUUGUCGCGUCUGCUGUGAAAGCCCGGGGCUCAACCCCGGGUCUGCAGUGGGUACGGGCAGACUAGAGUGCAGUAGGGGAGACUGGAAUUCCUGGUGUAGCGGUGAAAUGCGCAGAUAUCAGGAGGAACACCGAUGGCGAAGGCAGGUCUCUGGGCUGUUACUGACGCUGAGGAGCGAAAGCAUGGGGAGCGAACAGGAUUAGAUACCCUGGUAGUCCAUGCCGUAAACGUUGGGCACUAGGUGUGGGGGACAUUCCAC
Molecule: ribosomal RNA, 770 nt
Filed under: Kocuria sp. tz6-11
Lineage: Bacteria; Bacillati; Actinomycetota; Actinomycetes; Micrococcales; Micrococcaceae
Description: bacterial SSU rRNA
Rfam family: Bacterial small subunit ribosomal RNA
Source: RNAcentral